UGGGGAAUAUUGGACAAUGGGGGAAACCCUGAUCCAGCCAUGCCGCGUGUGUGAAGAAGGCCUUAUGGUUGUAAAGCACUUUAAGCGAGGAGGAGGCUACUGAGACUAAUACUCUUGGAUAGUGGACGUUACUCGCAGAAUAAGCACCGGCUAACUCUGUGCCAGCAGCCGCGGUAAUACAGAGGGUGCGAGCGUUAAUAGGAUUUACUGGGCGUAAAGCGUGCGUAGGCGGCUUUUAAGUCGGAUGUGAAAUCCCCGAGCUUAACUUGGGAAUUGCAUUCGAUACUGGGAAGCUAGAGUAUGGGAGAGGAUGGUGGAAUUCCAGGUGUAGCGGUGAAAUGCGUAGAGAUCUGGAGGAAUACCGAUGGCGAAGGCAGCCAUCUGGCCUAAUACUGACGCUGAGGUACGAAAGCAU
RNAcentral lists this ribosomal RNA (415 nucleotides) under uncultured bacterium. Its description in RNAcentral is "partial 16S ribosomal RNA". It matches the Rfam family "Bacterial small subunit ribosomal RNA", at positions 355 to 762 of the family's 1533-position model. The record is from RNAcentral.